UCCCAGGGUUAAAACACUCUUUGUGCUA
This 28-nucleotide non-coding RNA is filed under the name Mus musculus (house mouse). The record is from RNAcentral. Lineage: Eukaryota; Metazoa; Chordata; Mammalia; Rodentia; Muridae.